RNAcentral lists this ribosomal RNA (253 nucleotides) under uncultured bacterium. RNAcentral describes it as "partial 16S ribosomal RNA". It matches the Rfam family "Bacterial small subunit ribosomal RNA", at positions 524 to 776 of the family's 1533-position model. The record is from RNAcentral.
UACAGAGGGUGCGAGCGUUAAUCGGAAUUACUGGGCGUAAAGCGUGCGUAGAUGGUUAUGUAAGUCGGAUGUGAAAGCCCCGGGCUCAACCUGGGAAUUGCAUUCGAGACUGCAUAGCUAGGAUGCGGAAGAGGGAAGCGGAAUUUCCGGUGUAGCGGUGAAAUGCGUAGAUAUCGGAAGGAACACCAGUGGCGAAAGCGGCUUCCUGGUCCAGCAUCGACGUUCAGGCACGAAAGCGUGGGGAGCAAACCGG